AAGAAAGUGGCCGAAUCUAAGGUGUUAGUCUCUUAAAUUAAUUAUGAAGAAAUUAGUUUA
This 60-nucleotide transfer RNA is filed under the name Argiope ocula. RNAcentral's name for it is "tRNA-Lys". Lineage: Eukaryota; Metazoa; Arthropoda; Arachnida; Araneae; Araneidae. The record is from RNAcentral.